RNAcentral lists this ribosomal RNA (422 nucleotides) under uncultured cyanobacterium. Its description in RNAcentral is "bacterial SSU rRNA". It matches the Rfam family "Bacterial small subunit ribosomal RNA", at positions 358 to 795 of the family's 1533-position model. Lineage: Bacteria; Bacillati; Cyanobacteriota. The record is from RNAcentral.
GGAAUUUUCCGCAAUGGGCGAAGGCCUGACGGAGCAACGCCGCGUGAGGGAUGAAGGCCUCUGGGCUGUAAACCUCUUUUAUCAAGGAAGAAGAUCUGACGGUACUUGAUGAAUAAGCCACGGCUAAUUCCGUGCCAGCAGCCGCGGUAAUACGGGAGUGGCAAGCGUUAUCCGGAAUUAUUGGGCGUAAAGCGUCCGCAGGCGGUCUGUCAAGUCUGCUGUUAAAGCGUGGAGCUUAACUCCAUUUCGGCAGUGGAAACUGACAGACUAGAGUGUGGUAGGGGCAGAGGGAAUUCCCGGUGUAGCGGUGAAAUGCGUAGAUAUCGGGAAGAACACCAGUGGCGAAGGCGCUCUGCUGGGCCAUAACUGACGCUCAUGGACGAAAGCCAGGGGAGCGAAAGGGAUUAGAUACCCCAGUAGUC